AGAGGAGGCUCACUUCCACCCAAGUUCAGUUCUUAGAGAAGAGCUUUAAAAUUGAGAACAAGCUUGAACCUGAGAGAAAAAUUCAGCUUACUAAGGAUCUUGGAUUGCAACAAGACAGGUUGCUAUUUGGUUUCAGAAUCGGAGAGCAAGGUGGAAGACGAAGCAAAUUGAGAAGGAUUAUGAGGUAUUGAAGAAGAGCUUUGAUGUUCUUAAGGAGGGUUAUGAUAAUCUUCUUAAGGAGAAGGAGAAGCUUAAAGCAGAGACAUUUCUCGCCGAAUUGAUCAAGUUGAAGAUAAACUAGAUGUGCAUGUUUGUGUACAAUUGUUAAUCUAGAGCAUUUGAGUGUCAUGUUUACAAUGCAUGUUGUACUCAAUUUGAUAUUCAUAAGUUUAUCAUCUUGGUAUAUUAUGAGAAUAUUCAAUUAAGUCAUCCUUUA
Molecule: long non-coding RNA, 436 nt
Organism: Asparagus officinalis (garden asparagus)
Lineage: Eukaryota; Viridiplantae; Streptophyta; Magnoliopsida; Asparagales; Asparagaceae
Exons: 2
Source: RefSeq, a predicted model, not a curated record